Oreochromis niloticus (Nile tilapia) is the source of this 7983-nucleotide long non-coding RNA. RefSeq lists it as uncharacterized. The transcript has 2 exons. NCBI's taxonomy places the organism in Eukaryota, Metazoa, Chordata, Actinopteri, Cichliformes, Cichlidae. The record is from RefSeq and is a predicted model, not a curated record.
ACAAAGUACAGAAACCAUCAGGGUUCACAUAUUACCACGAUCCUCUCCAGACACGGGGCCGCUCCACUUAGAAUCAUGAUUAGCAUCUGGCGUCGUUUUCCACAUCGUUUGUGACCCUCAGCGUGUGGAAAGUAUGUCACAGCGUCAUGAUGAUAAAACAAAGUGAAAGCCCUUUUCCUUGGGUAAAUGAUGUAAAUAUGUCCAGUGAAGUCCAGUGACACAUUACAUACUGAAUCCGAGAGCAGAAGAAUAACACAACACGCCUCGCGUAAUGCACUGGGUGGAGAAACAUGUGAGGGCGUAGACCGGAGCGCCGGCACAAGUGCUCAUUACAGCGGUCGCUGCGCUGUACGUGCUUCACAUUCAUCUGCUGUCUAAUGCACUUGAGCGCGUGCCUAAUUGAAUUCAUUGGCAGUUACAUAUUAUUUGGCACAUGCAGUGAAAUAGUGACAAGUGUGUUUGUGGACUCUCCGGCCAUCAGCGUGUCCUUAAUCAUCUGUGUUCCCCUCUGCGGCCGUACAGCAACGGCUCAGACAGUCUCAGGUAUAGGUUUGGUUUUCAAACUUGAAGAGGUCAUUGCUGGCAUUGGUCACUGCACUGAAGUCAAGACGGUGACACAGAUUUUCCACUUAAGUUUCAAGGUCUCCCUUUUGCUUAUUUACUCUGUCCUUUCAUGGCUUUGAUUACAUUUUCACUGACCUGUCUGAGAAACAGGCAAAGUGCUACGCGGUGGUACUGGUCCCAUGUUCUCAAUGGUUCUAUAUGAGGCUCUAUUUGAGGCAAUUAUGACUCUACAACCACACACACACACACACACACACACACACACACACAAGAGUAGCUUCUUUGAGCCCAAAACUGAUUUUAAUUGCAGUUAGUUGUUGGUCUGCACAAUCAUAAUUAUAAAACAGUUAACCAACUGUUUUGGCAGUUGCCCAGGACCAGCCUUACAAUCGAGCACCAAUCUCCAGGGCUGAGAAAUAAAGCCAAGGCGCAAUGCCAAGACAUGUAGUUCCUCUAAUAGCCACUUGAGGCAACUCCAAAAGCAUUUACAGUCUGGUAUUAAAUAAUACCAAAGAAAAAACAGGAAAUCACAAGUCAAUAGAUGACGUUAUUGUUGCCAUCUUCUAUAUACAGUCUGUGGCUAGAAUAAUAUUGGGAUUACAAUAAAACAAUAAAAACAUUCACAAGUUUGAAUCUAAAUGCGACUGGCCCUCUCAUCCAAAACGCAGUGUUGACUUUUUCCAGUCUGACUCUUAACCUGUCAACUCAUGCACACAUAGCUAUUUAUCACCUACAGGCAUAUAUAAAUAGGUGUCAUAAAAUAAAAUAAACAAUAGAAUAAAUCAACUCUCCAUCCAAGAAACUGGCAUUUAAUAGAUUUUCUUUUGCCAGAAAAGUUUGCGCGUGUGUGUGUGUCUGUUUGUCUGUCUGUUUGAGAGUGAGUCACAAGGCAGUCGGGGAUUUGUCACUCAGUCACAGCCACCACCCAGCCACUCACCUCACCAAGUCACCGACAGCAGCCUUGUUUAGUCAGCUGGAGUUGGAGGGAGACGCACACAGACAUAUAUACAAACAUAUUUCGGUUAUGUAAUGCUAAUUGAUUUUGGUUCCUUACAUCCAUACGUCUAUCAUUCAUUACAAGCGGCGCUUCCACUUGCAGUACGUACACACAGGCGCUCACAGAUGACCCGAUGUUUAUCUGUUUAACAGCCAAACCCACUUAGCUACUCAUUAAAGCGGAGAGUUGUAAUUUAAAUUCACCAGAGUUGGUUGCAUUACCAUUUCGUCAUCAAAUUAAAUUUAAUUCUGAACAGACUCGCUGACUGCACUGCCCAGACCCGUGUGUUUUAGCUGGCCUCGUCUCAAAUACAAAAAGAGACACAGACAGGGAGAGGAAGAGCAAAGCUGGGUUUCCUGCUUGGAUUCAUCGCAGACCAAAAAGAUGAGGUGACAGAGAGAGACACAUAUGAGGCCUGGCGCUGCCUGUGUUUAGUCUUCAUGUUUCUACCAACUGUACCAUAAAUGUGCAGUUGGACUUUAUAUAAGGACAUCUACCAAACGGCACCAAAAUAACUGCAAUAACAAGAAAUACAUACCUAUGAUGGGUAUUUCUAAGAAGUAAAAGGCAAAUCAAGAGUAAUCCAAGCCACUAUUUUUGAGACACUGUCUCAAGACAAAAUUGCUUCCUUAUAUUUAACUGAAAUAGUAUGAAGAUGACGCAAAGGUAGGAAGAGAUGAUCUUGAAAAACACAAGCUCCACGUUUGAAAAAACAUCUGGACUGUGCUCCGUCACCUCUUCAAUUUAAUUCAGUUUUAUUUUUAUAACGCCAAAUCACAACAACAGUCACCUCUAGGUGCAUGAAGCUGUAAGGUAAAGACCUACAAUAACAGAGAUAAAGCCUAACAAUCAGGUGGCCCUCUAUGAUCUAGCACCUGGUGACAGUGGGAAGGAAAAACUCCCUUUUAACAGGAAGAAACAGCAGCCUAGGCCUAUGGCAGCAUGAAUGAAGAAGCCAGCAGUGUGAGAGCAAAGUGCUCUAUUGGGGUGAUUUUCUUCUUCUUAUCAACACUAUGUAAAUGUUUGGGGAAUGAAAGGUAUACUGUUGUUUGCUCUCACUCUUUUGUCAUCAGACUUUCUGUAACAGCACGUCUGGAUGGCAACAUAUGUUGCUCCAGAUCAGUGCUAAUGGAGCCGGCACAAGACGCAUCUCCAAACCAUCUGCCUCCCCUCUCCUCUUCAGCUCAGAGGAAACGGUGUCUAUGAUCUUAGAUGAACCUGGACCCAUAAAAAGUCAAAGCUGGUUCACCACAGCGCCACCAGUGGGAUCUAGGACAGAGUUUUCUGUGGUUCCUCUGAAUCUUUUUUAAUGACUGAAUGUACCACAGUUUGAUGUUGGAAACUGUUCAACUAUUUAUCCACACAGUCUCUCACAGACUGGUGAAUCUCUCCUCAUCUUUCCUCCAUAAUUUAUCAGCCUCACUGGAAUGCUCGUUUUAAGCCCAAUCAUGUUUCUAAUCAGCCUAAUUAGUCCUGAAACGUGUUCCACCAGGUGGUUUUUUUUUUUAGAAUUGCACAACUUUUCCAGUCUGUGUGUGCCUUCUUUCCAACUUUUUUUAAAAACAUGUUACUGGCAUCAAAAUCAAAGUUAGCAUACAAGAUUCAAAGCCUUAGAAGUAUUUGUACUGCACAAAGGUAUAAAAUGGUUUUCAUCAAUCUUUUCACAGCUUUGCAACUUUUUUGGAAACAAGGCUGGAAAUUCGCCCUGAACACAGAACAUGAAUAUUUCAUCUGACUAGACGAGUUCAUUCUGUGAGAAGACGGAAACAAAAGGUACGACUGGCCAUGACAGUCAGCGGCAUAGUGAGGUCAAAGGGUCAUGUGUAACAGCCAGUCAGGAUGCGGUCAGGUGUUUCCCUUGUUUAGGCUUCCUUCCUUUUCAGUAGGAAGGGCAGCUCGCGGCAUGUCUGCUAAUGUGGAAAUAAGUUAUAAGUUUACAUGUCUGUGCAGUCAAUGGCACAUCUCCAUGUGCGUGUGUGUCUCUGUGCACCUCUGCGUAUGUGCAAGUGUUUUUCUUAGCAUUCAGGCAUGCACGUUUGGCUCCUUGUGAAUCUGUGUGUCCACGAUCGCACGCGUCCAUCCUGUCUCCCUGUCCUCAAGAGCAGAGAGCCCUCAAACUGAACUAGUUAGAACUGUACAUGGACAAUACCUUUUUAACUGAGAAUCGGUCACAGUACAGUGUACAGUGUUUAUAUACAGGAAACAGCCAAGGAUAAGGGAAGAGUACCACUGAAAGAACAAAUCUGAUUGGCUAUGAAACUUGGCUGACCUGAUACAAACCUGAGGUGAUGUUUAUAGAAAGAGAAAACGACACACCUCCGAGCUGAACUGCUACCCUGCAGUAUUGCAGGAUGGUAGAAAUCUCAGGGUUAAUGUACAGAAACAUACCAGUGCAUACUGGAAUAUAUUUGUGUACUACUUAAGGCAUUUCUGCAUUUCCCUCGGGAUGAAUAAAGUAUUAUCAAUCAAUCAAUCAAUCAAUCAAUCAAAUAGUAUAGCAUAUGCAAUACUUUAAACAGUGAAAUACGCAUUGUUUCUAAGUACACACACACCCUUGUUAUUACACAACCUCUCAUAGAGACCCCCCUACUUCCUCAUCCAGGUCGAGUUUAUGAUGCGUGACAUUCAGCUUUGGGUCAAAUCACAGCUCAGGGUGGAGGGUGAAUGUAGCCCGACUGCCCCUUCCACACAGCAUGAGAGGCCUUCGCUCAAUCAACCAGUCAAGUGAUGUCUAAAGUUUGAUAAUCUCAUUUUACUCACUGCUCUCUAAGGUGACUGUAUUUUAAAUAUGACCUUGAGGGGUAAAAAGAUUGAGGUUUAUACACUUUUUGUUUGCUAGAAUCUAAUGUGCCACUAAUUAGCUAGAUAAACAUCCUAUGCAGUCAGACAGGCAGGUCAAAGGUUCAGUAAAUCAUAAGUAAAUAAGUGUGGCUUUGCUGUGCAGUUCAGAGUAUCAUAUUUAGCAGCAUGCUUCUUUUUCCCUCUUUCUCACACAUCUCCGCACAACUCCUUUUCCCCCUUGGUCUUCAAAGCCAUCAAGCAUUUACAGUGUGUGGGGCUCUUUAAGAGGAAUAAAGCUGAUAUUUACUGCGGGCUUUCAUUGAGUGUAAAGGCCCAGAUUUGUGGUGCCCAUAAACCACAUCUCCCCUUCCUGCCUGUAAAAAUUUAAUGCCACACAGCUACCACUGAGCUCUGGCUCCCAUGAGGCUUCCAUUCAUUUCUUUUUCCUUUCCUUGACAGAGAGCAGAGAGGUUAUUAAACCCUGCGAGGGAGCUCCGCCAUGUCUAAUUACGCCAACGGUAAACAAAAGGAGGUCGGGUGGUGAAGGAGUGAGGAGAACGACGAGGAGGAGGGAGGAGAAGAGCAACAGAUGAAAAAACACAGCUGGCUGAGCGCCGUGUUAUUAUAAUUCUUUAAGCAAUACUGUUAGCUUGGUCAGUCUUUUAGCUGUGCAACUAAUGACUAGCUAGGCCUAAUUACAGGCCGCCGGUGCUGUGCCGGGACGUGAUAUUCCUUCCCCGGAUGGUUGUUAACUUCCCCCACAGCCAAGGCCCAGCCCGACUCCCAUUACCUCCUCAGCCCUUCCUCGCCCACAAAACCCCAAAUUACCUUUAAAGGUGUUGUAUUGUUCUUUUGGCAACAUACACAGCAGCGUUUUCCACUGUGCACACAUCAGACACACCCAGAGUGGGUGGAAAUAUCACGGCCGUUGUAAAAGAUAUUCCCGGUCUUCCCCGCACGCCUCAGAAUCUAAGGCGAAACUUAAAAAAAAAAGAUUUACCCCACUAAACAGGAAAAACAGGAAAAACGGGAAAAACAAAAACAUUGGGAUAAAAGUGGCUGGUUUGAAAGCUGUGUGUGUGUUCAUGUGUGUGUGUGUGUGUGUGCUUUCAGGAGCAAAAUGUGGAAAACAAAGAUGAUUUGUUACACUUAGAAUUACACCAUAAUCUCAAAACUAUUGCUGCAGAAAUUUUUUUGGCCGAUUCUGGCCUCUUUUGUCAUCUGGAAGAUAUUUAAUAUCAGAUGUCGAUUUAAACCCCGCUCGCUAAAAUGGUGCAAAUGAGAAAAUAACAAGGUCCAAAACCUCACAGGGAUUAGAGCUGGGAAAAUAAAGUUGUCCUGGUUUAAAGGUUGCUUUAUAGCCCUAGCAGACCGAGCAAGGCACGAGAGUCAUUUGUGGCGAAUCGAGGCGCAGCAAGGCCAAAUUCAUAAAGACCAAAUGAAAAUUGACAAAAACGUAUUAAAUAAAAAAUGGGUCUGAUGAUGUCAGGGAUUACUUUGGGAUUAAAAACAUGAGGCAGUGGAAUCAGGUUGACCUCACACAUCAGGGGCUACACUUUGGGAGGCUAUUUUUAGAAACCACACGGGCUGAAUUAGUUUAAAAAGCCUCUAUGUGGACGCUACUGCACACUUUCGAAACAAACACGUUGCUGCCGCUCGCUCUUAGAUCUCCCGCUUCUUUGGAAAAAUAUCCGUGAGGGUGAAUUCCCGGCCAAACAGAAACUGGGGGACAGCAUCCACAUUUUGUUUCUCCCCAUGAGCGCUCCACAAGACGGAUGCUCUCCCCAUCCAUCGUGGCCUCCUCCCCGUCUCUGAAGUGAGUGAUGCGGUAUUGAAACCAUAUGCCCUCCUGAAUUCCUCGCGGAUCCUCCCAUCCCGUCCAAUCCCUGCAGUCCUCUUGCUGGCCACCGACACACGGCUGUCGCGAGGGGGGCCUCCCUGCUUCCUGUGUAGGAUCUAAAUAUUUACACUCCCAGUCGUCCCGAGUGGCGAGGCGGAGAGGUCUUGAUGUUUUGGGUUAUGUAAAGUCCAAUCCUCCAGGACGCAUAUUUAACAGAUUGUCGUUGUUAGAGCACUUUUUUCAGCAGACUCGCUCCGUGGAAAGUUUUUCAUCCUCCCGAUGCAGAAGGGGACACAAAAAGCUUUAUACUGAAAGGGAGCAGGGUUUGAAAUCCACGCUGUGCACCCCAGAAUAACUUUGUCUUUACGACAUCCUGCCUUAAAGUCUUCGGACGUCUCGAGCCAAAGGUGACAGCUGGGCGGUGGAGAAUACAGGUCUGGAGCCAAAACUGAACAUGUGGUGAGAUCUAACUGUCCCGUAGCAUAACAAAUGAUGAGUCUUUGUUCUGUGUCGUGUCAGCCAAAGCUUUCAUCUAAUGCAAUUACUGAGAAAAAGCCCCGCAGGAAUUUAACAUACAACCUCUGGUGUUAACAGCAGUGCUGCGUAACCUACUGAGAAAGUCACUGCAGAUGCUCUGAACAAACAGAAGAUCGAGCCAACAAAUCUCAGCAGAGGGUUUUGCAGGGAGUAGCGAUGAGAGCAAACCUGUCCUGGAAAUGCUUCUGCAUACCGUACAGAUGUUAGAGCCAUUAAGCAAGGAGCAAAAGAAAGCAAAGCAAAGGUAAAUCGCUACCUAAGUAGCCCGUCAGGAUGGGAGGAUUUGCAGCUCUAUGUGAGUGCAGACAAGAGCUGUGAUCAGACAAGAGGACCAAAGAUAAGCCAGUUAUAGCCAAGAUUUGGGUUACUGUGGCACAUUCUCUAACCUCUUUGGUCUGAUUAGCUUUAGUUGGCAUCACUGUGUGCUUAGAUACUCGCAGCCCCUGGAAGCACGCUUAGGCUUACUAUGGCUCAUCAUUUAAAGUCCAACAACGAGUGCAGAAAGCAGAUGCACUGGAUUCACGUACAUCUAAAGGUUUGUGCGCCUAACUUGGCGAGGAUCAGACAUCAGUAUCAACAGCAAGCUGACUGAGGACUACCUUUACAUACUGCAGCAGUCACACAAUGAAGCCUCACAGGAGCAGCUUAGCUUUAAGCACUAUAAAGGUCUGUCUCCCGAAUUACACAGCAGGUGGAAGGCAGGCGGAUUAUGGGUCGAUUUAAUUUGAAAAGCUUGUGAGGCUCAUAACAUCAGGAUUAUACCUGCACAUUACAUCAUCUGUUGAGUAGGACGAGAAGCGAGCAGGGCUAAUGAGGAGGUCCGGAGGAUGAGGUCACCUGUCAAGAUGGAUUCACCGCCUGCGCCUUAAAUCACUGAAUAUUCAGUAGCUCACAAUUCUGUGAGAUCGUGCCACAUUGUAAAUCUCUAGCAAGACUUACUACACAGUUUACAGAUGCACCAGAGGUGUGUCAGUUUAAAAUCAUCAUCAUUCACAUAGCCUGUGUUCUUUAAUGUUUAAGGCCAAGGUCCUUCCUCAUGCACUCUCUCCCUGCCACCGUGCAUUUAAGUCACUCCUCAGAGCAGAAACGGUGUAUAACAAAUAUAACAAAUAACUAUAUUCCCUGCUCAAUAGGCAUGUUUUGGGAAAAACUGUAAUACCUUAACCAUACAAAGAAAACAAAAAAUGGGCUACAAUUCUCAUCUGAUCGGCGCUGAUUAAAGAGAUCCGGCAAAUGUCGGGUCUAAUCUAUCAAGCAUUUCAAA